This is a long non-coding RNA of Homalodisca vitripennis (glassy-winged sharpshooter), 2446 nucleotides long. RefSeq lists it as uncharacterized. The record is from RefSeq and is a predicted model, not a curated record. NCBI's taxonomy places the organism in Eukaryota, Metazoa, Arthropoda, Insecta, Hemiptera, Cicadellidae. The transcript is spliced from 2 exons.
AUUUCUGGAACAAACCCCGGGCAAUACGUUUUGUUUGGGGUUCCAAAUCCCCUGGGAUGUUGGCCCGCUUGGCCAUAAAGGCUUUACAAUGUGGCCCUUGGGUAAAAAAGGUUGGGCACCCCUGCACUAGAAUGUAAAAUCUCUGAUCUGUAUGCACAAGUAAGAAUAGUAUUAAAUGUUUUUACACAUUACAUAAAUUCAAAGUACAUAUCAAAUAUAAGCCUGUAAUGUAAUUAAUGAUCUUGUACGUUUUUUAACCCUUUUUGGAUGACGAAAAUUUGAGGAUUUUUAGGUACACUUCUUUUAGGAACGCAUUUUCUAAGAUGACAAAAUAUUGGAAUACUGCAGAAGACGACUGUGAAAAACGUAAAAGUUUUCUAAAUAAAUCAUAAGAAGAUAACUAUGUAUUGUAAAUACACUAUUUGUUAUCCAAUUAUACAGAAUUAAACCGUGUAUAACAUGGUCACAUUUAUUAGUAAAUUUUUCAGCAGAAAAGUUUGAAUAUUAUACAUUUACUUCAUUUUUUAAAAGUUGACCAUCAGUAUACUAUUAUAACAAAAAACCAUUUAUUGUUGAAACUAACAUUAUUCUACUCAUUACAUAGUUUUCUAUUCCAGUACAAAAUUUUAUCAGCAUUGGUUUGAAAAAAUAAUGAUUUUAUUUUAAAAAUUACUUUCUACGCACACUGUUGACUGACAAUAAAAAUAGACAGGAUUUAUAUUGUACUGCCAACAUAAGUUCUGAAGUACUUUUGUGAGGUUUAUAAAAUAUGCCUUCAUACAACAAAUUAUUUUUAUUGUGGUAUUUUCGUUAUUACUUGAGUAUUACACAAAAGUUCAGUAUGUGGGCAUAUAUAUACGCAUGUCGUCCUCAGCAAGUUAUGUGUGGGCAGAUAUAUACACAGUUGUACUAAAAUGGUUAAUUUCAAAACAUGUUUCCCAGAGCUUUAGUUUGCACCAAAGUGUCAAUUCCUAGUAAGUUACAGACCGUAGAAGAAUUUUUCCAUCUUUAUUGGUCCGCCUUUUGUAUGUUCAAGGGUUCAGGAAAAGUUUACCAAUCCAUGUCAACUACUUCACUAACACUUUGUGUUUAUUGCAAAAUCUAUAGACAUUUAAUCACUCAGAUGUUUUUUUUUUUUUUUUAAUUAUCUGACAUAAAAAAAUCUUGUUCGUGUUCUUAUGUUUUUGAUCUUAGUAGUGACAGAAAAAAGAGCAUUAUAAAUACCAUGCCCAUAGUUAAUCCUGUGUUCAGGCCUUUGCAUACGUAAAGUAUCAUGUAUUUUUUUUAUUGGUAUAAAAUUAAACAUUCUCACUUUUGCCCAAUUGUAAUAUUUUUGAUUUCAUAUUUUCUAGAAAUUCUUCUUUGAAAUAAAAAAUUCAAACAAUUUGUGCCAAUUUCUUUUAGUUGUAAAAAGUUGGCAUUAUUUGGUUUAGUUUCAUCAUUAACAAUAUGCUUGUUCUUGUUGGAUUUCUUUCUAUAUUACAAAAAUAUUAAUUUAUCUUCUUCAGUUAAAUUUGCUGGUACACAUUAAUUUUGCUUCCUACCAUUAUGAUUAGUUGUCUAAGCUAUGCCUUAAUAUUUUAAUGUGUUACAAUUUGACUAUUAUCAUAUUCAAUGUAAAAAAUAAACUCACAUCUAAAGAAAGUAAAUUUACAUAUUGAAAUCAAAGUCGGGACCCACCUUAAAAUAUAAUUAUGUACGAAUUUGUAUCUAUGUAAUAAAUAUAAAAAUUUAAUUUAGGUUGAAUUGGAACAGAAAAGAAGAGUGGAAGUGGUAGAAAAAGGAAUCCAAAAGGAGAUCAGGUCUUGGAGAGGAUGUCCUAGAUCAGUUAAAAUCAGCUUGUGAAUUUAUGGGCUGCCCAUAUUGUAUUUCGUAAACCAAUAUCAAACAAGGUUGUAUUAAAUGUCUGCAAUAUUUUAAACUUAAUCGUGUAUAUUUUGUAUAAUGUAUUUACACUAAUAGCUUAAUAAUGAACUACCGACCACGGUUUUUGAUACUAUAAUUGUAUACAUGUUUGUCAAGAAGAUUAAUACCUUUUUUACCAGAUGCAUGUUGUUGAGAUCAUUUGAUAUUUUUAUUGGUUGUAUUCCGUAGUAAUAAUCGCAUAAGUGCUAAUGGUAAAGGUGAUAUUCGUAUUAUUCUAAUCUAAAAUAGUCAUCUUCAAUGUUCUUUUAGCAUAAUUUUAGUCUUUCAGUAGAUAUUUCAGUACUAACGACUGGAAAGUACAAGGCUAUUUUAGGCCGAUAUUUUGUUACCAUAUAAUAGUUUUUAACUGCUUUGCUUUUAACUUUUGUCAAAUAAGUACCAUAGCAGUUGUGUAAUUUUUAUAAGCAACUUCAGAAUAUGAAUAUAUUUUAUGAGCUUUUUGAUGUAGCAUUUUUAUGGAAAGUCCAUGUUUUGUAAACACAUAUCAACUAAGCCUGUCCAAUUAAAACAAUUUACGAAU